GAUGAACGCUGGCGGCGUGCCUAAUACGUGCAAGUCGAGCGAACAGAUGAGGAGCUUGCUCCUCUGACGUUAGCGGCGGACGGGUGAGUAACACGUGGAUAACCUACCUAUAAGACUGGGAUAACUUCGGGAAACCGGAGCUAAUACCGGAUAAUAUAUUGAACCGCAUGGUUCAAUAGUGAAAGACGGUUUUGCUGUCACUUAUAGAUGGAUCCGCGCCGCAUUAGCUAGUUGGUAAGGUAACGGCUUACCAAGGCAACGAUGCGUAGCCGACCUGAGAGGGUGAUCGGCCACACUGGAACUGAGGCACGGUCCAGACUCCUACGGGAGGCAGCAGUAGGGAAUCUUCCGCAAUGGGCGAAAGCCUGACGGAGCAACGCCGCGUGAGUGAUGAAGGUCUUCGGAUCGUAAAACUCUGUUAUUAGGGAAGAACAAAUGUGUAAGUAACUAUGCACGUCUUGACGGUACCUAAUCAGAAAGCCACGGCUAACUACGUG
This 497-nucleotide ribosomal RNA is filed under the name uncultured bacterium. Its description in RNAcentral is "partial 16S ribosomal RNA". It matches the Rfam family "Bacterial small subunit ribosomal RNA", at positions 28 to 507 of the family's 1533-position model. The record is from RNAcentral.